Molecule: ribosomal RNA, 466 nt
Filed under: uncultured bacterium
Lineage: Bacteria
Description: partial 16S ribosomal RNA
Rfam family: Bacterial small subunit ribosomal RNA
Source: RNAcentral
AUGAACGCUGGCGGCGCGCCUAACACAUGCAAGUCGAACGAUUAAAGCACCUUCGGGUGUGUAUAAAGUGGCGAACGGCUGAGUAACACGUGGGCAACCUGCCCCUUUCAUUGGGAUAGCCACGGGAAACCGUGGAUAAUACCGAAUACUUCGAGACUUCCGCAUGGAAGACUCGAGAAAGCUCCGGCGGAGAGGGAUGGGCCCGCGGCCUGUUAGCUUGUUGGUGGGGUAACGGCCUACCAAGGCAAUGAUGGGUAGCUGGGUUGAGAGACCGACCAGCCAGAUUGGGACUGAGACACGGCCCAGACUCCUACGGGGGGCAGCAGUGGAGAAUCUUGCACAGUGGGCGAAAGCCUGAUGCAGCGACGCCGCGUGCGGGAUGAAGGCCUUCGGGUUGUAAACCGCUUUCAGCAGGGACGAGGCGAAAGUGACGGUACCUGCAGAAGAAGCCCCGGCUAACUACGUG